Zonotrichia albicollis (white-throated sparrow) is the source of this 4807-nucleotide non-coding RNA. NCBI's taxonomy places the organism in Eukaryota, Metazoa, Chordata, Aves, Passeriformes, Passerellidae. The record is from RefSeq and is a predicted model, not a curated record.
CCCCUGUUUUCAGAUAAUGGAAAACUGCAUUAACCUUGUGAUGUUUCCCUGGUGGCUCCAGCACAUUCCCCCUCUUACCUCUCUGCUACUUUUUUUGCACCCUCUGAUUUGUACAGGUUCUGAUUUCCACCCUUUAUGGCCAAUCCCAAAAGGUUUGGUAGGAAAGAUCAGAAUCCAGCCCCGUGUUAUUUCAGCCGGAACAAAAUUUCUGGCUUGUUUUAGCCAUCAGGAUAGCCUUGACAUGCUUUGACUUGCUUGCACCAAAAAUGUAAACAGCAGCCCUAAGCAGAACAAUUAACAUUGUGUCUCUGCAGAUGUUUGUUUCCCUUGAAGGAGCUUGGAAUUUGAGUGGGGAAAAGCAGGGUAGGCAGCGAACAGAGGCUAAUGCAGUCUGGGGCAAACUUCCCAACUGGAGUUUUAUAAACAGCCCAAGCUGCUUCCCUUUCUAUCAGUGAUGUCACUGCUAACCUUAGUUUGGGCUGCAGCCUUGCUAUCCAUCAUCUGCCAGCUGCUAUUCCUUCCCCACUGUAUAGCAGCAGGAAUAUGUGAGGGCGACCAGAGACCCAAAGAGUUUCAGUUUCAUGUGAAUGGAAGCCAAUAAGCUCCAGAUUCCCUGGAUUUUUCAUACAAAUUAUCUCACCCAAGUCUGCAGAUAAUGCUGUCUAACAGUUGUAGGUUAUAAUUUCCAAACAGGGAGAUAACCUUCAUCAUGAAGCAAAAGCAAAAAUGCCAUUAGCAGAUAGAGAGGUGAUUUAACUCAACCUAGCCAUUUGCUCACAAGUCUGAAUUUAUGUCACCAGUUGUGAUGAAAUGAGUGUUUUCUUAGAUAGAUAUGGACGACUAACACAGCGCAGAACUCAGCAAUCUUCAAAGGACUCUGAGUUUUAAAUUCCCUGGCUAAAGUCAAACAUUUGUCUUUCUUAUCACUUUCACUCAAAGGAUGUGUUUUUGCAAUAUUACAUCAGGUUCAUUUGCCAACAUAAGAGGCCAAAAGGUGAUGUCCAGGAGAUGAAUGCUGCCUUCACUUACACGACAGUAACCCAUCAGCUGCACUGGAGUUACUCUGGGAUUCCAGUGAAGGACUUGACAGCAGGACCAUAACACCCUGCAAGAACAUUCCUUAUAUCACCAUUGCAAGAGCUCCAUAAAUCCAGCACUUUCCAGCUGAGACAUUUCAGAGGAGAGCUCAAAGUUGAGGUGAUCAAACAGCAAGCAAAGAGGUGACCGAACAAUGAACAGCAGUAGGACACUUGCCUUCCUUCCCCUGCCAAAAAACCCUGUUUGGUCAGAGUAAUGCUAAAUGCAGAGUUAUUCUGUGUCUAAACCCUUCAAUUAUAUCUCUUUGCAGCAUGAGUCCUGGAGGCUUUGUGAGUAGGACAUAUUCUUUAACAGGUCACUUGCAUUUUCUCUUUCUCCUCUCAAAUGCCAGCACCUGGGCUGCUCUUGUAUGCUCCUUUAAACUGUUUCUGAGCCAAUCCUGUAUGCUUCCUUGCAGUGCUGCUCUCAUCCCUUGACAGGCCAUGGAAAUCAAAGCAGAUUUCAUUUGCUUUGGGAGCAGAUGUCUCGUGAAAAAGCUUCUGUCUGUUUAGCAGCAUGGCAGAUUCAUUCCUCCAACAGUCAAAAGGCUUUAAUUUAGUGAGGUCACACAGUCAGAAAUUGGCCAAUUGAGCACUCACCAGAAAACCUCUGCUUCAGCCUGAUGUGAUCCUACAGGACAGAGAAGUACCUGCAGCAUCAGGUAGAAUGCUAGAGCAUCUCUCAUUACUCAGACACAGUGAGGUGGUCUCACUGCUGAGCGCUGUUAUUAUUGCAAACAGCAAAUGCUGCUGCAUCAGUUUGACUUCCCUGCAGCCUCCUGUGGGGCUCACAGCAAAGGCAAAUGAAGACAGCAAAGAGGGAUCGUGGGUCUGGACUGCCUCAGGCACAGGAAGGGCUGAAGGUGACAGCCUGGGCGAGGGAACAGAGACAGCUCUGCACACACACUGAUGGGAAUGCAAUACACGAUUGUGACAGCUGCAAACACCUUCAAAAUAAAGGCAAACUUCCAGCUGAGUGUGAUGUUCAGACUCCAGCUCCAGCGUUAAGGUAUGUGAAGAAUUCAUUCAACCUACUCCUGCAUCUUGUUGAACAAAGAUGAGUUGUUUUCAUGCCUAUAGUUUCUGGACAGUUGUGUCAAACCUUUGGCUAUACCUAACCAAAGACCUGCCUAAAUCCAGACGCAUCACUGGAUAAGUAAGUUUAAGUCAUGCCACAGUGACAUGAAAGAAGGCAUCACAAAGAGCCAGCUUUGUGGCUUGAGAGGGAUGGAUCAACUGGGAAUCCUAGGCAAGGAUGACCAGAAGGCCCCUGCACAGAAAAAGCUAAAGGAAGGCACUCUAACACAGUGAAUUUAGCCAUCACUUAUCGAGUGCAUCACUAGGAAAAAAAACCCAAGGUAGCUGUAAUUUCAAUCUCUGCACUCCCUGCCUUCAAAGAGCUUCCAAAGGCAGCUUGAAUUCUUCACCCUGAUGCUGGCAUGCUCGCAGUGACAUUGGAAGGCCCUGCUGGCAGUCGCUGCUGUCACAGCCCCAGCUCCCCGCGCUGGCAGCAGCAGGAGCGGCUGUAACUGGAUCCGCCCCAGCCCGGGCAGCCCCACUGCACAGCGGAUAUCUGCCCUGCACACCAACCAUAGACUUGAUGAAACAUUAUCAUACAUGAAGGACUAAUUAGGUGUGCUGGGCCAUUAGCCAUCUCUGAACAUUGACUGAUGAAAAACGUAAUUAAUGGCAGCUUUCAUAAACAGACUGCAGAAUGGAGAAUUGAAUUAAAAGGAAAACAGCUGUUGCUAAUGGAAAUAAGGGCCAUUUCUUGAUUAAAAUAUCUGCCUGUCUUUCCGUGGGAGUUUUUCCAGAGUGGUGGGAUGGAAGAGUGUAACGAGAUCUGGGAGCAGAGAAUCUGCAAAGCUUCCUGCUGAAGAAAGUACAACUUCUCUGGCUGGUGAGUCACAAUGUUUUCCUUUUGCAGAUUGGAGCAGGGGAAAGAACCAUACAAUUGCCUUGUUCAUCUUGCUGCCAGUCUGAACAGCUUUAUAAACCUUGGGGAUCAACCCUGACAUGUAGGAAUCCAUCUCAGCUUUAACAUAAUGUGAUAUUUCAUUUUACAUGAACCCACAGAUAUUGGAGGGUCUAGAAUUCAAAAGCUACUUGCUGAGGCCCUACACGGUAGCACUGAGCUCUGAAUCCAGGAGGCAUCUCCACAAAUCCCACUUAAGCACAUCUAUUGAUUCUGACACCAAAGUGCAGCAGGAAUCCACAGCUGAGAACAUCUAUCAAAGAGAGGCUUCCACCCAGAGACAGCCACUAGGGACUCAGUAAGACUUUGGUGACAUGAGUGAAAGGGUCUGAAUGACGGAAAAUGUCAGAAUCAAGGUUUUUUUCAGGUCACGAGGCCUUUCCUUCAUGCUGUGCUGACUCUGACUCCCACUGACAAGAAAUACUGCAGGAUAAGCCUACAGUACGGAAGAAUUAACAUCCAGAUUUUCAUAGGGACUGAGCAGCACAGCUUCAUCUGCCUCCUGUGGCAGAAAUCACACUGCAGUGGGGUGAAAGGCUGCUUUCUGAGUUUCUGAAGCCAUUUACUUCUACAUUUACUUCAUUUAGCAUAAAAAAUUUCAGGGUGCUUCCAAGUGCCACUGGGACCCGCGUAUCAGUGGACAUAGCCUUCUCAGUUUUGCCCUGUGUGUGUCCUCUCCAAGGCUCAAGGAUGCUUUAGUGACUCUUCAUAUAAAGUCUUGAAUGACAGGGUUGAUUGCCUGGGAGGGCACGUGCUGCAGAUGAAUUUUGGUGCUUCACUGUUGAGCUGCUCUCUGUGGAUCUGCGCCCCACUGUGCACCCGGGGCAGGAGAGCUCUGCUCUGCCGCUCUGACUCCAUCAGUCUUCUCUGCCUCGUUGAAAAUGAUGGAUCUUUCCCAUCAGUGAUGCCUGAGAGCUAAGCCCUGCAAACCCCAAGCCCCACAGAGGCUGCUGACAAGGAAAUCCACGCUCCAUCCCAGCCGUGCCCCGAGGAACGGAGGCGCAUGAAAGGCUGCGCUCAGCCGCAUUAUCAGAUCCAAAGUGGAAACCAAAGAGAGAGGAAGGUCUGAAAGAUGAGCCAGAUGGGAAUGCCUGUUGCUUUCACCUUUGAUCCACAUGGUGCUUUGAUGUGGUAUUUCAGUCCUUCAGACGAGGUAACUUAUCCCAGUCUGCAGCUCAGGGCACUCUGAUGGAUAUAAAUGAGGCAGCAAGCCGAGCUCCUGGGCUCUCGCUGAGCCACUGCCGCUCAGAGGCAUAACUCAGCCCCAGCUCCUUCCAGUGCCCAUUUUUUUUCUCUGGCUGCAGAGUCUAAAAGGAAAUUCCCUCAAAUAAAUACAAAAGCACUUGAUGUUCAUCUAAUGGCAUUUCAGGGAAAGGAAGCAUGAAGCCACACAAGUUAUUCAUCUCCAUAAAAUGGUUUUAUCAGGACCCAGAACACAAUUCCUUAGCCUGAGGUGGUCUGAUCUUCUUUGUGAGAUGUAAAUGCAUGACAUUAUGUGCAGAAUGGGUGCUGCUUAAGAACCCAGAUAGAUACAGAGCAGGCAUGUGGGAAUGAUCAGCAUAAAAUAUUUCCUUUUAAUGAUGUGGACACUUCUGUUCCUUUGAGGGAGAACAGUAUGUGCAGUGAAUACUUCAGCACAUUUUUCUAGUGAUAUGGAGGUCUUGAUCUGCUGGUGAGGGCUCAGACUCAAGUGUUAUUUGUGUCACUCUCAGCCAAAGGUUUGCUUCUCCAUUGCUCUGUGCAUGGAAAACCCAGG